Molecule: ribosomal RNA, 1371 nt
Filed under: uncultured bacterium
Lineage: Bacteria
Description: bacterial SSU rRNA
Rfam family: Bacterial small subunit ribosomal RNA
Source: RNAcentral
GAUGAACGCUGGCGGCGUGCCUAAUACAUGCAAGUCGAGCGAACGGACGAGAAGCUUGCUUCUCUGACGUUAGCGGCGGACGGGUGAGUAACACGUGGAUAACCUACCUAUAAGACUGGGAUAACUUCGGGAAACCGGAGCUAAUACCGGAUAAUAUUUUGAACCGCAUGGUUCAAAAGUGAAAGACGGUCUUGCUGUCACUUAUAGAUGGAUCCGCGCUGCAUUAGCUAGUUGGUAAGGUAACGGCUUACCAAGGCAACGAUGCAUAGCCGACCUGAGAGGGUGAUCGGCCACACUGGAACUGAGACACGGUCCAGACUCCUACGGGAGGCAGCAGUAGGGAAUCUUCCGCAAUGGGCGAAAGCCUGACGGAGCAACGCCGCGUGAGUGAUGAAGGUCUUCCGAUCGUAAAACUCUGUUAUUAGGGAAGAACAUAUGUGUAAGUAACUGUGCACAUCUUGACGGUACCUAAUCAGAAAGCCACGGGUUACUACGUGGCAGCAGCCGCGGUAAUACCUAAGUGGCAAGCGUUAUCCCGAAUUAUUGGGCGUAAAGCGCGCGUAGCGGUUUUUUAAGUCUGAUGUGAAAGCCCACGGCUCAACCGUGGAGGGUCAUUGGAAACUGGAAAACUUGAGUGCAGAAGAGGAAAGUGGAAUUCCAUGUGUAGCGGUGAAAUGCGCAGAGAUAUGGAGGAACACCAGUGGCGAAGGCGACUUUCUGGUCUGUAACUGACGCUGAUGUGCGAAAGCGUGGGGAUCAAACAGGAUUAGAUACCCUGGUAGUCCACGCCGUAAACGAUGAGUGCUAAGUGUUAGGGGGUUUCCGCCCCUUAGUGCUGCAGCUAACGCAUUAAGCACUCCGCCUGGGGAGUACGACCGCAAGGUUGAAACUCAAAGGAAUUGACGGGGACCCGCACAAGCGGUGGAGCAUGUGGUUUAAUUCGAAGCAACGCGAAGAACCUUACCAAAUCUUGACAUCCUUUGACAACUCUAGAGAUAGAGCCUUCCCCUUCGGGGGACAAAGUGACAGGUGGUGCAUGGUUGUCGUCAGCUCGUGUCGUGAGAUGUUGGGCUAAGUCCCGCAACGAGCGCAACCCUUAAGCUUAGUUGCCAUCAUUAAGUUGGGCACUCUAAGUUGACUGCCGGUGACAAACCGGAGGAAGGUGGGGAUGACGUCAAAUCAUCAUGCCCCUUAUGAUUUGGGCUACACACGUGCUACAAUGGACAAUACAAAGGGCAGCGAAACCGCGAGGUCAAGCAAAUCCCAUAAAGUUGUUCUCAGUUCGGAUUGUAGUCUGCAACUCGACUACAUGAAGCUGGAAUCGCUAGUAAUCGUAGAUCAGCAUGCUACGGUGAAUACGUUCCCGGGUCU